GAUGAACGCUGGCGGCGUGCUUAACACAUGCAAGUCGAACGGAAAGGCUCCUGCUUGCAGGGGUACUCGAGUGGCGAACGGGUGAGUAACACGUGGGUGAUCUGCCCUGCACUUCGGGAUAAGCCUGGGAAACUGGGUCUAAUACCGGAUAGGACGAUGGUUUGGAUGCCAUUGUGGAAAGUUUUUUCGGUGUGGGAUGAGCUCGCGGCCUAUCAGCUUGUUGGUGGGGUAAUGGCCUACCAAGGCGUCGACGGGUAGCCGGCCUGAGAGGGCGUACGGCCACAUUGGGACUGAGAUACGGCCCAGACUCCUACGGGAGGCAGCAGUGGGGAAUAUUGCACAAUGGGCGCAAGCCUGAUGCAGCGACGCCGCGUGGGGGAUGACGGCCUUCGGGUUGUAAACUCCUUUCGCUAGGGACGAAGCGCAAGUGACGGUACCUGGAGAAGAAGCACCGGCUAACUACGUG
This 466-nucleotide ribosomal RNA is filed under the name uncultured bacterium. Its description in RNAcentral is "partial 16S ribosomal RNA". It matches the Rfam family "Bacterial small subunit ribosomal RNA", at positions 28 to 507 of the family's 1533-position model. The record is from RNAcentral.